GGUAAAAGCGGUUUGUUCAGAUACUCACAAGAAUUAGAUUUUGGUCUCUUUGGACCUUCUCUUUCAGGCAGAGUGGUUAGCAGCUAUUGAGCUCCCUUCCAGACCCAUUACACAAACUGAGCAUCUGCUUUUCUGUGCCCAGGCACAAUCUGGUUCAACAGAGGGUCAAUUAUUGAUGCUUGAAGAGCAGAAGCUGCACACUGAAGUGAAUAAUACCAAUGUUACUCUUCUGCUGCCACCAAUAGUAGCUUGCAGUACUGAUUUCAGUCUCAAGCAUUCCUAUGAAAUGGUAAGAAAAGAUUUUACACACAGAGGUUUGAGUGGUCUGGUCUGUUUGCUUUUCAAGUCAUGGGUCUGCAAUGUGCGUAUUCAUCACGCACAGUUCUAUAUUAUUUUUCCCCAGGGUUUAAUCCCCCCAUAUUUUAGCCCCACCUUCAUCUCUGUCACACACAGGUCCUUUAUUACUGCUGAGGAAAAUCAGAGCAGAGGACUCUCUGGGUUGCUGUGCAACCUGAAACAAUCUGUGCAACACUGACACAAACCAAAGCAAACACUGGAUGCGAGUUUUUCAACCAGGAUUUCAAGAGCAAAGUCACCAGAACUACUCAUAUGCUCAAAGUUAGGCUUGUGCUUUGGCAUUUUGCUGAACUGGCUUCUUACAGAAGAGGAAGAUGAAGAAUGCCUUGGCCUAGAUUAGAGGCCACAUCUUGGGUCCACACCAGGUUUGGUGGUGCUGGAAUGUGUGAUCCUCCCAUACUGUCUCUCAGAAUAGGCAAUACCAGCUAUUCAGGAAGCAGCCCUGAGAAACCUUUUGUGGGUUGCUCUUAAUACCUGAGCUAGAUUAUAGGAGAAGAAAAAAAAGGCUGGAAAACCUUCAGCCAUCAUUGGACUCCCUGAGAAGAUUUUCCCUCUUAGCAAUGACUUUAUGGCUAAUCAGAGGCAGAAGACAAGUGGCAGCCUAUGAACUCCCCAGACACCAGGUUUUUACCAGGAAAUCCAUUCCCCAAUCCAACCUCACCCCAUCUCUGUUUCUCUAUGUUUUCCCUGGGCCUCUCCCACCACCAGAAGCAAGGCAGCCUGCCUUCCCAGUAGGUCUGCGUACGUCUCACUUCUGGGAAAAGAGAUCUAAAACCACCUUCAAAGUGGAAAAACCUGAGAGCAGAUAUUUCUUGGAUCCAGCUCAGCCAGUCCAGAAACUGUGUUAGAAGCAGGACAAUAUUUUAUACCAGCUUAUUCAUGGGGAAGCUAUAUGAGCAUAGAGCAUCCUAGUUCACUGCUAUCCUGUCCCUGGCCAUGCAGUAGUCCAGCAAUGACACUGAGCUGAAGAACACCUGACUUCAAGUACAGACAUUAUACUUCCUACCAUUACACCUUCUCAAUAUAUUUAUGCACCAGGCACUGUAGGUAUCAUGUUUUCAUAUUCAUGUUACACUUAGCUAAUACUAUCUAGAAUUUCUCUGCAUUAAAUGGAGUAUUUUAUCUUUUUGAACAAGUAAGAUUUCUGCACCAUAAUGUAUCCUACAGGCAAUUCUUUUCAUAUCUAAAUCCCAAGGAUGUUUGGGGGGAAAAAAAAAAAAGGAGAUUAUAUUUAUUCAGAAAUUAAAUGAGAUUAAUAAUUUUAAAAGUAAUUUACAAAUAGCAAUCAGCCUCUGCAAUGAAGGUCAAAAGAAAAAGGACACAUUAGCAAUUGAAUAUCUUCUGUCCCUUUAAAGUUUUAAUACCUCAUACCUGUUAAUAAUAGGAAAUAUUCUUCUUCAAGAGUAGCAUUUUCAAAAAUUGGUAGGAUCCUUUUGCUAAUUCUAAUCUUCUUUUAAUAAAAUAAUUUGCUAAAAAGGAUUAUAAAAAAGCAUGAAAAUGGAAUGCCAAUAGAAAUGUACUGCCUAUACAAUAAAUAGUUAAUGUAUUUUCUAAAUGAAUGAUUUAAAAUAGCUAUUAAAGUAAAGAGAAUGAGCUUAUGUUUCUAGUAAUGACUUCUCUGCCUCAGAAUGAAAUCUGUAAAUCCCCGAUUGCAAUUUCACGUCCCAAAAGAACAAGCAGUCCUGGGACCAAUGCUUAUUGCCUUUAUCGUUAAUACUAGCAUACCACAUGUGAUUUUUAUAUCACUGGUUUGAAUAUUUAGAUUUAUACUUAUGUGUGCUUUUUAUUUUAAAUCUCAUACAGUUAUUCUGUCACAAAAAUAAAGCUCUUUCAACGAGGCUUUUUUGUAUGUACAUGCAUACGUGUAUACACAGACAUUCAGUAUAAGUACAAUUUUAUUCAUAAGAGUGCAUAAUGAUUCAGGCUGUGAUUGUUAAUAAAAAUGCAUUUCUAACCAUCAA
Molecule: long non-coding RNA, 2318 nt
Organism: Oxyura jamaicensis (ruddy duck)
Lineage: Eukaryota; Metazoa; Chordata; Aves; Anseriformes; Anatidae
Exons: 2
Source: RefSeq, a predicted model, not a curated record